Oncorhynchus tshawytscha (Chinook salmon) is the source of this 156-nucleotide long non-coding RNA. RefSeq lists it as uncharacterized. The transcript has 3 exons. NCBI's taxonomy places the organism in Eukaryota, Metazoa, Chordata, Actinopteri, Salmoniformes, Salmonidae. The record is from RefSeq and is a predicted model, not a curated record.
CCUUACUGAGACCUAGACAACCAGGUGAGGGGAGUUCCUUACUGAGACCUAGACAACCAGGUGAGGGGAGUUCCUUACUGAGACCUAGACAACCAGGUGAGGGGAGUUCCUUACUGAGACCUAGACAACCAGGUGAGGGGAGUUCCUUACUGAGAC